Molecule: ribosomal RNA, 404 nt
Filed under: uncultured bacterium
Lineage: Bacteria
Description: bacterial SSU rRNA
Rfam family: Bacterial small subunit ribosomal RNA
Source: RNAcentral
AACGAACGCUGGCGGCAUGCCUAACACAUGCAAGUCGAACGAGACCUUCGGGUCUAGUGGCGCACGGGUGCGUAACGCGUGGGAACCUGCCUUUAGGUUCGGAAUAACUCAGAGAAAUUUGAGCUAAUACCGGAUAAUGUCUUCGGACCAAAGAUUUAUCGCCUUUAGAUGGGCCCGCGUAAGAUUAGCUAGUUGGUGGGUAAAGGCCUACCAAGGCGACGAUCUUUAGCUGGUCUGAGAGGAUGAUCAGCCACACUGGGACUGAGACACGGCCCAGACUCCUACGGGAGGCAGCAGUGGGGAAUAUUGGACAAUGGGCGAAAGCCUGAUCCAGCAAUGCCGCGUGAGUGAUGAAGGCCUUAGGGUUGUAAAGCUCUUUUACCCGAGAUGAUAAUGACAGUAUC